This 82-nucleotide transfer RNA is filed under the name Bacteroidales bacterium. RNAcentral describes it as "tRNA-Leu". It matches the Rfam family "tRNA". From Rfam's summary of the family: Transfer RNA (tRNA) molecules are approximately 80 nucleotides in length. Their secondary structure includes four short double-helical elements and three loops (D, anti-codon, and T loops). Further hydrogen bonds mediate the characteristic L-shaped molecular structure. tRNAs have two regions of fundamental functional importance: the anti-codon, which is responsible for specific mRNA codon recognition, and the 3' end, to which the tRNAs corresponding amino acid is attached (by aminoacyl-tRNA synthetases). tRNAs cope with the degeneracy of the genetic code in two manners: having more than one tRNA (with a specific anti-codon) for a particular amino acid; and 'wobble' base-pairing, i.e. permitting non-standard base-pairing at the 3rd anti-codon position. The record is from RNAcentral. RNAcentral also lists the same sequence under 1 other name. Lineage: Bacteria; Pseudomonadati; Bacteroidota; Bacteroidia; Bacteroidales.
GCGGUUGUGGCGGAAUUGGUAGACGCGCUAGACUUAGGAUCUAGUUCCGAAAGGAGUAGGGGUUCGAUUCCCCUCAUCCGCA